GACGAACGCUGGCGGCGUGCUUAACACAUGCAAGUCGAACGGAAAGGCCCUGCUUUUGUGGGGUGCUCGAGUGGCGAACGGGUGAGUAACACGUGAGUAACCUGCCCUUGACUUUGGGAUAACUUCAGGAAACUGGGGCUAAUACCGGAUAGGAGCUCCUGCUGCAUGGUGGGGGUUGGAAAGUUUCGGCGGUUGGGGAUGGACUCGCGGCUUAUCAGCUUGUUGGUGGGGUAGUGGCUUACCAAGGCUUUGACGGGUAGUCGGCCUGAGAGGGUGACCGGCCACAUUGGGACUGAGAUACGGCCCAGACUCCUACGGGAGGCAGCAGUGGGGAAUAUUGCACAAUGGGCGGAAGCCUGAUGCAGCAACGCCGCGUGCGGGAUGACGGCCUUCGGGUUGUAAACCGCUUUCGCCUGUGACGAAGCGUGAGUGACGGUAAUGGGUAAAGAAGCACCGGCUAACUACGUG
Molecule: ribosomal RNA, 468 nt
Filed under: uncultured bacterium
Lineage: Bacteria
Description: partial 16S ribosomal RNA
Rfam family: Bacterial small subunit ribosomal RNA
Source: RNAcentral